GAGGAGUUGGAUGUGUUUUAAGGGGCUUGCUGGUCUGACUGAAAUAAGUCAGCCUUGCUCUGGGUACUUGUAGGUCUCACAAUGCCUGAACAACAAAUAUUCCAGGAAUAAUUUAUGUCUGCAUGUCCUUCAGUGCUGUGAGGCUUCUGUGCUCAUUAUGCUGCUCCUUCCCUGGGUGAAAUGUUUGGCUGCUGGUUCCAGUGGUGGCCAGAGCUGUGCUGUGCACUCCCAAGGGAGGCUUUUAGUGGAGGACCCUUGGAGCAGCUGUAAAACUUUAUGGGGAAGAUUGUUUUGUCUUUUCUUCAGCUGGGGCCCCCAGAGGUAAAUUUUAUACACUGAAUAAACAGGAUCUUGGAGCACUCCAUAGCCCAGUCUGCUGCAUUGUGCAAUAUCCAGAGGAAUAAUCUCUACAACCUUGGAAUGAGUCUAAGUUGUUGCUCCAAGUCCAGGAUUUCAAGAGCCACCAGUACCAGCUCAGCCCCUGCACCUCUCUUGAUCCCCUGGAACUUAAUCUUUAGCUUCUCAGUGCCACUCAAUGCAUCCAGCCUGAUUACCUCAAGAACUGCCCUGUUUUCCUGGGGUAAAUUGAAUAGGAAAGGCUUUCCAAACAAGAAAAAAUAUGUACAUGAUUUGGAGUGGGAUAAUGAAAACCUCUAGGUGGUGAGAUAAUCCAGAGUUUUGUAACUUAAUGUUAAGGAUUCCCUUAAAAUUGGGUCACAAAGGUAAGUGUGGCAAACUGAAGACCUUAGACAAGAGCAGGGAUUUAAUCACCAGGCUUCACACACUCCUAAAUCCAAAAGGUGACAGCCUGGACAACCUCCACAAAGACAUCUGUGUUUUCUGUCUCAAGGAUUCAAAGGUUGUGUGGGCAUUCACUACAGGUAAGAAAUAAUGCAAGGGCCAAGGAUCAGUGACCAACACAGGAGAAAACAAUAUCAUCACCAUGGGAAAAAGUGAGUGAAAUAUAAACUAGGAGAACAGGGACAAUCUAUGCUGAAAACGAAAAACUGAUGAAGAAAGAAACUAAACUAGCAGCUUGAAAAUUGUCAGCAGAGUAAGAGAAAAUACCAAAACCAAUUUCUACAACUAGAGAGAAGGGUCUGUCUGCUUUGAUGUGCUCCCUAUAGCUCAGUUCCCAGGAGGGUGGGAGGAAGCUGAUGGGGGAUAGCUCUCUCAAAAAUAGGUUUGUUUUCCUCUGUGGAAAACAUGGAGCUUUUUUUCCAAAACCAAAAUAUUUUUUGCAAUUAAAAGAGACAAAAUAUUUCCAGUGUACUUUCAGUGGAAAAAAUCUGGCAGGUUUGAGAUAAAUUUUUGUUAAGAAAAGUCAUACAAAAAUGUUUUCAAAAAAUAUUGACAGAGAUCCUCUGGGAGCUGAGCUACUGACAGAGUAAAUAUGAGAAGGGAGCACAGCUUUCAAGGAGAAACAGCACCAAAGGUCAUUUUCCUGGUGCCAAUCUCCCUGAUAUCAUCCCAGCCAACCACCUGAACCAGGCUUUCCUUGGUUACCACUAGAAGUUUAUAGUCUGGAGUAAACUUAUUUACUGAGCUCUUGUCUGUGUUUUCUACACCGGUGUUUUCUGGUUUGGACAUAUUUCCAUUGCAUGAACAUUUUAUUUCCCAUUUUUACCAGCAUGCUGUGUGCAGUUUGGCUUAGGGAAACUUGUUUUUUCAAUAAAACAUCUAUAGAAUG
Long non-coding RNA from Passer domesticus (house sparrow), 1690 nucleotides. RefSeq lists it as uncharacterized. NCBI's taxonomy places the organism in Eukaryota, Metazoa, Chordata, Aves, Passeriformes, Passeridae. The record is from RefSeq and is a predicted model, not a curated record. The transcript is spliced from 3 exons.